GGAGCGCCGGAAAGACUUCUCCCCUAUGAUCCGGGCGAAGCCGAAGUCACACAGCUUCACCUGCGGCACAGAGGCAGAGCUGAUUAAAGACGAUGCGGUUUGCUGUAUCGGGAACUAAAGCGCGAAAUCCCACCUGAGUGUUUGAAAACUGCAUUAAAACCUGCAAGAUGGACACUUCGUUUCUCAGCUGCGUCUCCUGUUUGGUGGGGAAACGCGUCUUGUCGAUGACCUUGAUGGCAACUGUUCGACCCGACUUCCUAUUACUGCAUAGAGACAGUCACAGGAUUUUCAUGUACUCCACGUGUUCAGUUUUCUGAACAUAACAACAUGAUGAGAAUCAGCUGACCUCCGUACACCACGCCAAACUGUCCCGACCCCAGCACCUCGUCUGUACAGAUCU
Long non-coding RNA from Oreochromis niloticus (Nile tilapia), 400 nucleotides. RefSeq lists it as uncharacterized. The record is from RefSeq and is a predicted model, not a curated record. Lineage: Eukaryota; Metazoa; Chordata; Actinopteri; Cichliformes; Cichlidae. The transcript is spliced from 3 exons.